GUGGGGAAUAUUGGACAAUGGGGGGAACCCUGAUCCAGCCAUGCCGCGUGUGUGAAGAAGGCCUUUUGGUUGUAAAGCACUUUAAGCGAGGAGGAGGCUACCGAGAUUAAUACUCUUGGAUAGUGGACGUUACUCGCAGAAUAAGCACCGGCUAACUCUGUGCCAGCAGCCGCGGUAAUACAGAGGGUGCGAGCGUUAAUCGGAUUUACUGGGCGUAAAGCGUGCGUAGGCGGCUUUUUAAGUCGGAUGUGAAAUCCCCGAGCUUAACUUGGGAAUUGCAUUCGAUACUGGGAAGCUAGAGUAUGGGAGAGGAUGGUAGAAUUCCAGGUGUAGCGGUGAAAUGCGUAGAGAUCUGGAGGAAUACCGAUGGCGAAGGCAGCCAUCUGGCCUAAUACUGACGCUGAGGUACGAAAGCAUGGGGAGCAAACAGGAUUAGAUACCCUUGUAGUCC
RNAcentral lists this ribosomal RNA (451 nucleotides) under uncultured bacterium. Its description in RNAcentral is "partial 16S ribosomal RNA". It matches the Rfam family "Bacterial small subunit ribosomal RNA", at positions 354 to 796 of the family's 1533-position model. The record is from RNAcentral.